Molecule: ribosomal RNA, 500 nt
Filed under: uncultured bacterium
Lineage: Bacteria
Description: partial 16S ribosomal RNA
Rfam family: Bacterial small subunit ribosomal RNA
Source: RNAcentral
GGACGAACGCUGGCGGCGUGCUUAACACAUGCAAGUCGAACGGGCCUGUCUUCUUUUUUGGGGGUGGGUUGAGUGGCGAACGGGUGAGUAUCACGUGAGUAACCUGCCCUUCGGUCCUGGAUAACCGCUUGAAAGGGCGGCUAAUACGGGGUGGUCCGGUUGGUCCGCAUGGGCUGGUCGGGAUAGAUUCACUGUUUUUGGUGUUUCGGCGGGGGAUGGGCUCGCGGCCUAUCAGCUUGUUGGUGGGGUGAUGGCCUACCAAGGCGGUGACGGGUAGCCGGCCUGAGAGGGUGGGCGGCCACACUGGGACUGAGAUACGGCCCAGACUCCUGCGGGAGGCAGCAGUGGGGGGUAUUGCACAGUGGGCGGAAGCCUGAUGCAGCGACGUCGCGUGAGGGAUGGAGGCCUUCGGGUUGUGAACCUCUGUUUCCGGUGGUGAAGGCCCUGUCCGUGUGGUGGGGUUGACGGUAGCCGGGGAUGAAGCGCCGGCUAACUACGUG